Molecule: non-coding RNA, 45 nt
Filed under: Schistosoma mattheei
Lineage: Eukaryota; Metazoa; Platyhelminthes; Trematoda; Strigeidida; Schistosomatidae
Source: RNAcentral
AUUCAGCCGACGAGUUCCAAAUAGGACAAAACGUGAGUCCUGGAU